Magnolia sinica is the source of this 878-nucleotide long non-coding RNA. RefSeq lists it as uncharacterized. The transcript is spliced from 6 exons. The record is from RefSeq and is a predicted model, not a curated record. NCBI's taxonomy places the organism in Eukaryota, Viridiplantae, Streptophyta, Magnoliopsida, Magnoliales, Magnoliaceae.
UAGGCCUGUGGUUCCAGUCCUGACCUGAAUGGCUUGGGCUUGGGCCUAUGAUAUAGAUCCAAUAACGGACUUAGCCCUGAUUUAAUUCAAAUUUCUACUAUGAGCUUGGACCAUCAUUUAGUUCUCUAAAUUGUAUCUCGUUUUGAAUAGCCACUAACAACCUUCUCUCUUUUUUUUAUUUUUCAGUGUUUUUUCCUUUUCUUAUUUGAUAGAGUGGAUUGUUUUUAAAAGAUGUGACCAACAUCUUUCUAAUGGGGUAGCAGUCCCUGGAAAUGCCUACAACAAUGAUGCAAGGCAGCAUGGCAUGUGUACCAUUUGCAAAUAAGAGACAAAAACUUACAGUUUUAAUAUGAUGAAUCAUGGUACCAAUGAACCACAGUGUGAAUAGAAUCAAAAGAUCAAAUCCCAAAGGCAAAAAAGAGUUAAAGAACUUAGCUGCAUAAUCAUUAUAGCCAGGCAUUUAUAGCUACACCAGGAAAGUCUCUCAUUGUGGAUGAUUAUGGACAGGAUGCCUUUGCUUCCGAUAGAAAAAAGGCAAAAAUGCUCUACUUCUCUAUUGGAUAUGGGAAAGCUUAUGUUAGACUGGCUUGUGAUUAGGAGGGGCACUACUAAAGAGCAUGAAAAUAAUGAGUGCAUAUCAAAGCAGCCUUUCUCGCACUGCCGUUGUUAAGGGAGGCCAACUGUCCCUGUCAAACGUGGGGCCCAAACUACAUCAAAGGUGGGCCAUGUAUGAUCAAAUGGGACUAUUUACUAAUGGCUAGAAAUUAUCUACUUUCUCUUGCCCAUGUGAUGAGCAAAUGGGACUUAUUUUUACAUAAUGUGAUCCUCAUGGUGGGGCCAACCUAUUUGUGGGGCCCAUGGCGAUGAAUGAGUUAUAU